UACGUAGGGGGCUAGCGUUGUCCGGAAUCAUUGGGCGUAAAGAGCGCGUAGGCGGCCCGAUAAGUCUGCUGUGAAAGUCCAGGGCUCAACCCUGGAAUGCCAGUGGAUACUGUCGGGCUAGAGUACGGAAGAGGCGAGUGGAAUUCCUGGUGUAGCGGUGGAAUGCGCAGAUAUCAGGAGGAACACCAAUAGCGAAGGCAGCUCGCUGGGACGUUACUGACGCUGAGGCGCGAAAGCGUGGGGAGCAAACAGG
This 253-nucleotide ribosomal RNA is filed under the name uncultured bacterium. RNAcentral describes it as "partial 16S ribosomal RNA". It matches the Rfam family "Bacterial small subunit ribosomal RNA", at positions 524 to 776 of the family's 1533-position model. The record is from RNAcentral.